This 808-nucleotide ribosomal RNA is filed under the name uncultured beta proteobacterium. RNAcentral's name for it is "bacterial SSU rRNA". It matches the Rfam family "Bacterial small subunit ribosomal RNA", at positions 56 to 864 of the family's 1533-position model. The record is from RNAcentral. Lineage: Bacteria; Pseudomonadati; Pseudomonadota; Betaproteobacteria.
UGCAGUCGACGGCAGCACGGGGGGUAACCCCUGGUGGCGAGUGGCGAACGGGUGAGUAAUAUAUCGGAACAUGCCCUGUAGCGGGGGAUAACGCGUCGAAAGAUGUGCUAAUACCGCAUACGCUCUACGGAGGAAAGUGGGGGUCGCAAGACCUCGCACUAUAGGAGUGGCCGAUAUCGGAUUAGCUAGUUGGCGGGGUAAAAGCCCACCAAGGCGACGAUCCGUAGCUGGUCUGAGAGGAUGAUCAGCCACACUGGAACUGAGACACGGUCCAGACUCCUACGGGAGGCAGCAGUGGGGAAUUUUGGACAAUGGGCGCAAGCCUGAUCCAGCCAUGCCGCGUGAGUGAAGAAGGCCUUCGGGUUGUAAAGCUCUUUCGGCAGGAACGAAAUGGUUCGUGCUAAUACCACGGACUGAUGACGGUACCUGAAGAAGAAGCACCGGCUAACUACGUGCCAGCAGCCGCGGUAAUACGUAGGGUGCAGGCGUUAAUCGGAAUUACUGGGCGUAAAGCGUGCGCAGGCGGUUUCUUAAGUCAGAUGUGAAAGCCCCGGGCUUAACCUGGGAACUGCGUUUGAAACUGGGAGACUUGAGUGUGGCAGAGGGGGGUGGAAUUCCACGUGUAGCAGUGAAAUGCGUAGAUAUGUGGAGGAACACCAAUGGCGAAGGCAGCCCCCUGGGUCAACACUGACGCUCAUGCACGAAAGCGUGGGGGAGCAAACAGGAUUAGAUACCCUGGUAGUCCACGCCUUAACUAUGUCAACUGGUUGUGGGGGAUUAACUCCUUGUAACGAGCUAACGCGUGAUU